Molecule: ribosomal RNA, 465 nt
Filed under: uncultured Klebsiella sp.
Lineage: Bacteria; Pseudomonadati; Pseudomonadota; Gammaproteobacteria; Enterobacterales; Enterobacteriaceae
Description: bacterial SSU rRNA
Rfam family: Bacterial small subunit ribosomal RNA
Source: RNAcentral
CCUACGGGGGGCUGCAGUGGGGAAUAUUGCACAAUGGGCGCAAGCCUGAUGCAGCCAUGCCGCGUGUGUGAAGAAGGCCUUCGGGUUGUAAAGCACUUUCAGCGGGGAGGAAGGCGUUAAGGUUAAUAACCUUGUCGAUUGACGUUACCCGCAGAAGAAGCACCGGCUAACUCCGUGCCAGCAGCCGCGGUAAUACGGAGGGUGCAAGCGUUAAUCGGAAUUACUGGGCGUAAAGCGCACGCAGGCGGUCUGUCAAGUCGGAUGUGAAAUCCCCGGGCUCAACCUGGGAACUGCAUUCGAAACUGGCAGGCUAGAAUCUUGUAGAGGGGGGUAGAAUUCCAGGUGUAGCGGUGAAAUGCGUAGAGAUCUGGAGGAAUACCGGUGGCGAAGGCGGCCCCCUGGACAAAGACUGACGCUCAGGUGCGAAAGCGUGGGGAGCAAACAGGAUUAGAUACCCGGGUAGUC